RNAcentral lists this ribosomal RNA (1350 nucleotides) under metagenome. RNAcentral's name for it is "bacterial LSU rRNA". It matches the Rfam family "Bacterial large subunit ribosomal RNA", at positions 1564 to 2925 of the family's 2925-position model. The record is from RNAcentral.
UGAGUACGAGCGGCUACGGCCGCGAAGUGGAUGAUGUCAAGCUUCCAAGAAAAGCCCUAUACCCGUUAAGGCAUGAUGGCCUGUACCCGAAACCGACACAGGUGGGGUGGUAGAGAAUACCGAGGGGCGCGAGGUAACUCUCUCUAAGGAACUCGGCAAAAUGGCCCCGUAACUUCGGGAGAAGGGGUGCCACCGCGAGGUGGUCGCAGUGAAGAGGCCCAGGCGACUGUUUACCAAAAACACAGGUCUCCGCUAAGUCGCAAGGCGAUGUAUGGGGGCUGACGCCUGCCCAGUGCCGGAAGGUUAAGGAAGCUGGUCAGCGCAAGCGAAGCUGGCGACUGAAGCCCCGGUGAGCGGCGGCCGUAACUAUAACGGUCCUAAGGUAGCGAAAUUCCUUGUCGGGUAAGUUCCGACCCGCACGAAAGGCGUAACGAUCUGGGCGCUGUCUCGGAGAGAGGCUCGGCGAAAUAGAAUUGUCUGUGAAGAUGCGGACUACGUGCACCCGGACAGAAAGACCCUAUGAAGCUUUACUGUAGCUUGGUAUUGUGCUCGGGCUCGGAAUGCGCAGGAUAGGUGGGAGGCUUUGAUCCAUUGCUUGCGGGUGAUGGUGAGCCACUGGUGAGAUACCACUCUUUCCGAGCUAGAGUUCUAACAGCAACCCGUUAUCCGGGUGCUGGACAGUAUCAGGUGGGCAGUUUGACUGGGGCGGUCGCCUCCUAAAAGGUAACGGAGGCGCGCAAAGGUCUGCUCAGGCUGGUUGGAAAUCAGCCGACGAGUGUAAAAGCAGAAGCAGGCGUGACUGUGAGACCUACAAGUCGAACAGGGAGGAAACUCGGCUUUAGUGAUCCGACGGUUCUGCGUGGAAGGGCCGUCGCUCAACGGAUAAAAGUUACUCUAGGGAUAACAGGCUGAUCUCCCCCAAGAGUUCACAUCGACGGGGAGGUUUGGCACCUCGAUGUCGGCUCAUCGCAACCUGGGGCUGAAGUCGGUCCCAAGGGUUGGGCUGUUCGCCCAUUAAAGCGGUACGCGAGCUGGGUUCAGAACGUCGUGAGACAGUUCGGUCCAUAUCCGGUGCACGCGCAGGAAUAUUGAGAGGAUUUCUCCCUAGUACGAGAGGACCGGGAGGAACGCACCUCUGGUGUGCCAGUUAUCGUGCCAACGGUAAACGCUGGGUAGCCAUGUGCGGAGUGGAUAACCGCUGAAAGCAUCUAAGUGGGAAGCCCACCUCAAGAUGAGUAUUCCCAUGGGGUAACCCAGUAAGGUCACGGGAAGAACACCCGUUGAUAGGCUCUACGUGGAAGCGCAGUAAUGUGUGAAGCGGAGGAGUACUAAUAGACCGAGGGCUUGACC